This is a long non-coding RNA of Toxotes jaculatrix (banded archerfish), 780 nucleotides long. RefSeq lists it as uncharacterized. The record is from RefSeq and is a predicted model, not a curated record. The transcript has 4 exons. NCBI's taxonomy places the organism in Eukaryota, Metazoa, Chordata, Actinopteri, Toxotidae.
CUUUUGUCCACACACAAAGCAGCUUCUUUUUAUCGUGGUAUCUCCGUUUCAUUUUGCCAAAUCAACACACUUGAACAUAAAGGAGCAGUUCAACAUUUGGGAGAUGUGUGACUCCUGAUCUUCCUCUUCAGUGCACGACUCUUAAUGAGAACAGGAGAGAUCAGCUGACUCACCUAGAGGUUUCCCCGUCAGUGGAUGGAGGAAGGUGUGAGGUGUUGGUGAAGGCGAUAGGACCGGGGCGGGAGGAGGAAGCUCUCCGAGGUCAUCCAUCGAAUGGCUCUGAGUCAGGAGGGGCGGGGCCUGGUUUUCUGACCCUGCCCCCUCAACAGACAGGAAGAGAGACGACCGGCGGCCCUGAACCCGAGCGCGCUCUGAAAGAACUUGCUGCUGGUACAACUCCGCCCUGCUGGGGCUGCCGGGCCCGCCUCCAUCUGAUUUGGACGAAUCGUGAUCUUUGAUUCCAAGUACUAGAAGAAAAAAACACAAAAGGCACUCAAGAAACUCGACACACAAAGAUGACACGUCUGAACCAUCCUAACCCUGCUCCUCUACAGGAAGUUGUUUCAACAAUGGCGACUUCCUCCUCUGUGGUUUGGUGGGUGGAGCCUGCUGUCCCACGUUAGCAUAAGGGUUUUCUAUUGGUCGACCCCGGCGGCGUGACAGCGGAUGAUCAUCGACCUCGCCUUCCUCUGCCGCUCGGCGUGGGCGUGGCUCCUCGCCGGCGAAUCGGAUAGCUCCUGGAGCCUUGGCUCUGCCCCCGGCUUGAAGCUGGAGCGGGUC